UUAUGAAAUAAUAUAAAAGACAAGAACAAUAACUCAAGAACAAGAGCAAUAGAGAGAAGAGUAGAGAGAGUUCUUCUUAUUGAUAUUUAGAGAAUGUUAUGAGUUAUUUACAAUGGUAGAUGGCACCUCUAUUUAUAGGGAGGAGGAUGAUUUAUCUACCAAGAAUAGAACUCUAGAAUCUCUCUAAUUAAAGACAUUCACCUUAAAUAGAAGUGUAUUUAUAACA
This 226-nucleotide long non-coding RNA is filed under the name Nicotiana benthamiana. RNAcentral's name for it is "long non-coding RNA (NBEN_LNC010307)". Lineage: Eukaryota; Viridiplantae; Streptophyta; Magnoliopsida; Solanales; Solanaceae. The record is from RNAcentral.